This is a long non-coding RNA of Solanum lycopersicum (tomato), 715 nucleotides long. RefSeq lists it as uncharacterized. The record is from RefSeq and is a predicted model, not a curated record. Lineage: Eukaryota; Viridiplantae; Streptophyta; Magnoliopsida; Solanales; Solanaceae.
UAGCAUCACAUUUACAUUCACAACCACAAGUAGUGAAAUUGUUCAAAACAUUUAAUUUUAUAAUUUCUUUAGCUUGUUAAAAUAAUUAGGUAUAUAGAUUGUUCUUGUGUCAUGUAGCUCAUAUCUCUUUACAAUUGAAAUUUCUUAUAUCAAGGGGAUGCUUAGAUCUGAAACACUGAGAUUUGAAGUAGAGACAGUGCAUCUUAGCAUUAUAAAUCUUCCUGAGACAUCAUCAUAGAUCUAAAGCGAUUUGAAGAUGUGAGGCAGUAGAUCCUAUUUCUAAAAAAUUUCUAUCGAAAGAAAAUCAAGCAGUGAUAAUGUCGAUGCAUCUUCUCAAAGAUCUGAAGAUGUGAGGCAGUAGAUCCUAUUUCCAAAAAUAUUUUAUCGAAAGAAAAUCAAGCAGUGACUAUGUCGUAGCAUCUUCUCAAAGGCCCCUUCGCAAUUGAAAACAUUUCAUACAUUCUAUAAAUUUGAAGCAGUGAUCAAAUAGAACAUCACAUUUUUGUAGAUUUUCUUGUGAAGAGAUUUUAUCGAUCAACCGAUGAUCAUGUCAUUGCAUCUUUAUCGUUAUUCAAACAAAGGGAGUAAAACUUUGGAGUAAAUGAGGGAAAAAAAGACUCAACUGAGGUCAUUUUUUUGAAUAGAUUACUUUGAGUUGAAAGUUCAACGAAAGAGGAAGGCUCAAGUUUCAGAAUGAAUUCUUGAUUGAUUGAGG